Molecule: ribosomal RNA, 415 nt
Filed under: uncultured bacterium
Lineage: Bacteria
Description: bacterial SSU rRNA
Rfam family: Bacterial small subunit ribosomal RNA
Source: RNAcentral
UCAAGAAACUUACCACAAUGGGCGAAAGCCUGAUGGAGCGACGUCGCGUGAUGGACGAAGUGCUUCGGCACGUAAACAUCUUUUAUGUGGGAUGAAAUUAUUGACAGUACCACAUGAAUAAGGGGCUCCUAACUCUGUGCCAGCAGGAGCGGUAAUACAGAGGCCCCAAGCGUUAUCCGGAAUCACUGGGCGUAAAGGGUGUCGAGGCGGUUGUAUUAGUCGUUCGUAAAAUCUACGAGCUUAACUUGUAGGCGGCGAACGAAACGGUACGACUUGAGGUUUGGAGAGGUGCGUGGAACUCACGGUGUAGGGGUGAAAUCCGUUGAUAUCGUGGGGAACACCAAAGGCGAAGGCAGCGCACUGGCCAAAAUCUGACGCUCACACACGAAAGCUAGGGUAGCGAAGAGGAUUAGAU